GACGAACGCUGGCGGCGUGCUUAACACAUGCAAGUCGAACGGAAAGGCCCUGCUUUUGUGGGGUGCUCGAGUGGCGAACGGGUGAGUAACACGUGAGUAACCUGCCCUUGACUUUGGGAUAACUUCAGGAAACUGGGGCUAAUACCGGAUAGGAGCUCCUGCUGCAUGGUGGGGGUUGGAAAGUUUCGGCGGUUGGGGAUGGACUCGCGGCUUAUCAGCUUGUUGGUGGGGUAGUGGCUUACCAAGGCUUUGACGGGUAGCCGGCCUGAGAGGGUGACCGGCCACAUUGGGACUGAGAUACGGCCCAGACUCCUACGGGAGGCAGCAGUGGGGAAUAUUGCACAAUGGGCGGAAGCCUGAGGCAGCAACGCCGCGUGAGGGAUGACGGCCUUCGGGUUGUAAACCGCUUUCGCAUGUGACGAAGCGUGAGUGACGGUAAUGGGUAAAGAAGCACCGGCUAACUACGUG
RNAcentral lists this ribosomal RNA (468 nucleotides) under uncultured bacterium. Its description in RNAcentral is "partial 16S ribosomal RNA". It matches the Rfam family "Bacterial small subunit ribosomal RNA", at positions 28 to 507 of the family's 1533-position model. The record is from RNAcentral.